This is a long non-coding RNA of Bombyx mori (domestic silkworm), 429 nucleotides long. RefSeq lists it as uncharacterized. The record is from RefSeq and is a predicted model, not a curated record. The transcript is spliced from 2 exons. Lineage: Eukaryota; Metazoa; Arthropoda; Insecta; Lepidoptera; Bombycidae.
CAAAGAAGCAAAAUUUGCUUCUCAACAUACCCGUUUAUACUUAAACCCAUCCGAUAAGUGAAGGAUGGCGAUAGAAGGAUUCACAGGACAUCCAUAUCCUAUCAAUAAAUCGACCAAUCACGGCACCCCGUCGUCCUGCGAGGGUGACGUCUCGGUCGUGAUUGGCCGAAAUAGAUACCGCCUUUACGAAGUCAACGCCCGAGAACUCGAACGAUUCGAUCGUCAAGAAACUUCAUACGAUCAAUCACGCAAAAUCAAUUUGAAGAUUCCCUGAAAAUUUGAUGGAAAUCGCUUCAGCCGUUUAGAAGUCUAAAGGGAACAUCCAUCCACAUCGAGUUUUAUUCAUAUAGUUAAGUAUGACUUACCAUCUAUGUGACUAAGACCGAGCCAAGAAACAUCUUGAGUAAAUCGAAUAACUUACCAACUAAA